UACGGGGGGGGUAAGCGUUGUUCGGAAUUACUGGGCGUAAAGGGCUCGUAGGCGGCCAACUAAGUCAUACGUGAAAUCCCUCAGCUUAACUGGGGAACUGCGUGUGAUACUGGAUGGCUUGGAUUUGGGAGAGGGAUGCGGAAUUCCAGGUGUAGCGGUGAAAUGCGUAGAUAUCUGGAGGAACACCAAUGGCGAAGGCAGCACUCUGGGACGUGACUGACGCUGAGACGCGAAAGCGUGGGGAGCAAACAGG
RNAcentral lists this ribosomal RNA (253 nucleotides) under uncultured bacterium. Its description in RNAcentral is "partial 16S ribosomal RNA". It matches the Rfam family "Bacterial small subunit ribosomal RNA", at positions 524 to 776 of the family's 1533-position model. The record is from RNAcentral.